RNAcentral lists this ribosomal RNA (253 nucleotides) under uncultured bacterium. Its description in RNAcentral is "partial 16S ribosomal RNA". It matches the Rfam family "Bacterial small subunit ribosomal RNA", at positions 524 to 776 of the family's 1533-position model. The record is from RNAcentral.
UACGGAGGGUGCAAGCGUUGUUCGGAAUUACUGGGCGUAAAGCGUGUUUAGGUGGAUCUGCAAGUCAGGUGUAAAAUCCCCCGGCUCAACUGGGGAACGCCGCUUGAUACUACAGAUCUUGAGUUCCGGGGAGGUGAGUGGAAUUCCCAGUGUAGAGGUGAAAUUCGUAGAGAUUGGGAGGAACACCGGAGGCGAAAGCGACUCACUAACCGGAUACUGACACUGCCACACGAAAGCGUGGGUAGCAAACAGG